UUAAGCGACUAAGCGUACACGGUGGAUGCCCUGGCAGUCAGAGGCGAUGAAGGACGUGCUAAUCUGCGAUAAGCGUCGGUAAGGUGAUAUGAACCGUUAUAACCGGCGAUUUCCGAAUGGGGAAACCCAGUGUGAUUCGUCACACUAUCAUUAACUGAAUCCAUAGGUUAAUGAGGCGAACCGGGGGAACUGAAACAUCUAAGUACCCCGAGGAAAAGAAAUCAACCGAGAUUCCCCCAGUAGCGGCGAGCGAACGGGGAGCAGCCCAGAGCCUGAAUCAGUGUGUGUGUUAGUGGAAGCGUCUGGAAAGGCGUGCGAUACAGGGUGACAGCCCCGUACACAAAAAUGCACAUACUGUGAGCUCGAUGAGUAGGGCGGGACACGUGGUAUCCNNNNGUCUGAAUAUGGGGGGACCAUCCUCCAAGGCUAAAUACUCCUGACUGACCGAUAGUGAACCAGUACCGUGAGGGAAAGGCGAAAAGAACCCCGGCGAGGGGAGUGAAAAAGAACCUGAAACCGUGUACGUACAAGCAGUGGGAGCACGCUUAGGCGUGUGACUGCGUACCUUUUGUAUAAUGGGUCAGCGACUUAUAUUCUGUAGCAAGGUUAACCGAAUAGGGGAGCCGAAGGGAAACCGAGUCUUAACUGGGCGUUAAGUUGCAGGGUAUAGACCCGAAACCCGGUGAUCUAGCCAUGGGCAGGUUGAAGGUUGGGUAACACUAACUGGAGGACCGAACCGACUAAUGUUGAAAAAUUAGCGGAUGACUUGUGGCUGGGGGUGAAAGGCCAAUCAAACCGGGAGAUAGCUGGUUCUCCCCGAAAGCUAUUUAGGUAGCGCCUCGUGAAUUCAUCUCCGGGGGUAGAGCACUGUUUCGGCAAGGGGGUCAUCCCGACUUACCAACCCGAUGCAAACUGCGAAUACCGGAGAAUGUUAUCACGGGAGACACACGGCGGGUGCUAACGUCCGUCGUGAAGAGGGAAACAACCCAGACCGCCAGCUAAGGUCCCAAAGUCAUGGUUAAGUGGGAAACGAUGUGGGAAGGCCCAGACAGCCAGGAUGUUGGCUUAGAAGCAGCCAUCAUUUAAAGAAAGCGUAAUAGCUCACUGGUCGAGUCGGCCUGCGCGGAAGAUGUAACGGGGCUAAACCAUGCACCGAAGCUGCGGCAGCGACGCUUAUGCGUUGUUGGGUAGGGGAGCGUUCUGUAAGCCUGUGAAGGUGUGCUGUGAGGUAUGCUGGAGGUAUCAGAAGUGCGAAUGCUGACAUAAGUAACGAUAAAGCGGGUGAAAAGCCCGCUCGCCGGAAGACCAAGGGUUCCUGUCCAACGUUAAUCGGGGCAGGGUGAGUCGACCCCUAAGGCGAGGCCGAAAGGCGUAGUCGAUGGGAAACAGGUUAAUAUUCCUGUACUUGGUGUUACUGCGAAGGGGGGACGGAGAAGGCUAUGUUGGCCGGGCGACGGUUGUCCCGGUUUAAGCGUGUAGGCUGGUUUUCCAGGCAAAUCCGGAAAAUCAAGGCCGAGGCGUGAUGACGAGGCACUACGGUGCUGAAGCAACAAAUGCCCUGCUUCCAGGAAAAGCCUCUAAGCAUCAGGUAACAUCAAAUCGUACCCCAAACCGACACAGGUGGUCAGGUAGAGAAUACCAAGGCGCUUGAGAGAACUCGGGUGAAGGAACUAGGCAAAAUGGUGCCGUAACUUCGGGAGAAGGCACGCUGAUACGUAGGUGAAGCGACUUGCUCGUGGAGCUGAAAUCAGUCGAAGAUACCAGCUGGCUGCAACUGUUUAUUAAAAACACAGCACUGUGCAAACACGAAAGUGGACGUAUACGGUGUGACGCCUGCCCGGUGCCGGAAGGUUAAUUGAUGGGGUUAGCGCAAGCGAAGCUCUUGAUCGAAGCCCCGGUAAACGGCGGCCGUAACUAUAACGGUCCUAAGGUAGCGAAAUUCCUUGUCGGGUAAGUUCCGACCUGCACGAAUGGCGUAAUGAUGGCCAGGCUGUCUCCACCCGAGACUCAGUGAAAUUGAACUCGCUGUGAAGAUGCAGUGUACCCGCGGCAAGACGGAAAGACCCCGUGAACCUUUACUAUAGCUUGACACUGAACAUUGAGCCUUGAUGUGUAGGAUAGGUGGGAGGCUUUGAAGUGUGGACGCCAGUCUGCAUGGAGCCGACCUUGAAAUACCACCCUUUAAUGUUUGAUGUUCUAACGUGGACCCGUGAUCCGGGUUGCGGACAGUGUCUGGUGGGUAGUUUGACUGGGGCGGUCUCCUCCUAAAGAGUAACGGAGGAGCACGAAGGUUGGCUAAUCCUGGUCGGACAUCAGGAGGUUAGUGCAAUGGCAUAAGCCAGCUUGACUGCGAGCGUGACGGCGCGAGCAGGUGCGAAAGCAGGUCAUAGUGAUCCGGUGGUUCUGAAUGGAAGGGCCAUCGCUCAACGGAUAAAAGGUACUCCGGGGAUAACAGGCUGAUACCGCCCAAGAGUUCAUAUCGACGGCGGUGUUUGGCACCUCGAUGUCGGCUCAUCACAUCCUGGGGCUGAAGUAGGUCCCAAGGGUAUGGCUGUUCGCCAUUUAAAGUGGUACGCGAGCUGGGUUUAGAACGUCGUGAGACAGUUCGGUCCCUAUCUGCCGUGGGCGCUGGAGAACUGAGGGGGGCUGCUCCUAGUACGAGAGGACCGGAGUGGACGCAUCACUGGUGUUCGGGUUGUCAUGCCAAUGGCACUGCCCGGUAGCUAAAUGCGGAAGAGAUAAGUGCUGAAAGCAUCUAAGCACGAAACUUGCCCCGAGAUGAGUUCUCCCUGACCCUUUAAGGGUCCUGAAGGAACGUUGAAGACGACGACGUUGAUAGGCCGGGUGUGUAAGCGCAGCGAUGCGUUGAGCUAACCGGUACUAAUGAACCGUGAGGCUUAACCUU
RNAcentral lists this ribosomal RNA (2905 nucleotides) under Shigella flexneri. RNAcentral's name for it is "bacterial LSU rRNA". It matches the Rfam family "Bacterial large subunit ribosomal RNA". The record is from RNAcentral. Lineage: Bacteria; Pseudomonadati; Pseudomonadota; Gammaproteobacteria; Enterobacterales; Enterobacteriaceae.